AGCUUUUGAACUUAAGAUACUACUGCAAGCAAUAAUAAAGUUGCAGAGAUGGUGGAGAUGUAAAUUGCUUCAUGAACAGAGAACAAAAGCAAUAGUUGUCAUCCAAUUACAUGUUCUAGGAUGAAUUGCCAGAUAAAGUGUUUUAAGAAACAAGGAACAAUUACUUCAAGCCCUCAUACUUUAUAUCAUUAAUCCAAAUGUCGGAAUGAGUAACAUGUUCACUAACAACUAUUUCAUCACUCUUAUCAUAUGUUACAUGUUCAACAGUAAUAGAAGAAAUCAAUUUAUCAUACAUUACAUGUUCACUAACAAUGAUUCCAUCACUCUUAUAGCCCUCAUACUUUAUAUCGUUAAUUCAAACGCCGGAAUGACGUAACAAUACGAAAAUAUUCAUCGCCAAUACUUCAAACAAAAUCAAUAAAAAUAAAAAAAUCAUACGAAUUAUUUCUAUGUGAAAACUGAUUAUGGAAGAGAAUUUAUUUAAAAAGUUGGAAUAACAAACAAAUUUCCUUUUUUUCUGGGAUUUUAUUGAGCUGUUACCAUAAUUAGUUAGGUUAAUUGCUAGCAUUAAUAUAGCAUUAAUUGAAUCAAAUUAAAUUUAAAAGAAAUUGAAUCAAACUGAACUAAUUUAAUUUUCGAUACCCCCUUUUCCAUAAUCAAAAAUCAAAAAAUUGAAUCGAAAUUUAAAAAAUCAAACUGAAAACUCAAAUGUCCACCCUUAGAUCUAAGUGUUUCUAGACAUUACAUUAUGGACAACACUCUGUCUACUUUGCCCCUCCUGUAACUUUAUAUCAUAUUGUGGUGAAAGAGUUCAACAUUAAAAUCUUCUUGAUUCACUAAUGAGGUAGGAGAAACACCUAAGAUAGAAGGAUUUUCUAAAGUUGCAGUAACAAUAAAGUUUGUCUGAUUCAAUACUUGAGUAGGAGAAACGCCCAAAUCAGAGAAAUUUUUUGAAGAAAUCGCAAAAAAAUCUAUUUGAUUCACCAUUGGGGUGGGAGAAAUACUCAAACCUAAAGGUCUUUCUGAUUGAGCAACACUAUGAGAUUUUUUAGCCAUAUUUUCUGAAGCAUCAACGACAACAAAAUUUGCAUGAUCCACUGGUGACAUCGAAUAAAUUCGAUCAAGUGGAGACUUCUUCGGCCUACCUCUUUUUUUAGGUUGAGCAACAUCUAAUCCAUCAACAGACUUCUUCGGCCUGCCUCUCUUCUUAGGUUAAGUAGCAGCUGAUCCAUCAAAGUCGAAUUUUAAAUUUUGUGCAGAAUCAAAACAACAAGAAAAUUGUUGAAUAUUUGGUUGUUUAGGUUGGUGAAAAAUGACUUUUACGCGUACCAUAUCAAUGUCGGGUUGUUCUAAUUUUUCAGGUUGGGGUGAUGGUUGUUGGUAGUGGUGAUAGUGGGGAUGGGGUGUUGGGGUUGAGGUUGGGGUUAUUAUUAAUUUCUCAUGAUCUCUUGAGGGUGGUUGUUGUUGUAUAAAUUAGAGUAGAUGGGUAGAGGUUGAGGGUGAUAUUGUCAUUGUUUCAUGGCUAUGUAGUGGUGAGGGAGGUGUGGAUGGUGAUUUUAGAGCAUCCAUAGUACACAAAAACUUUGUUGAGA
This 1592-nucleotide long non-coding RNA is filed under the name Capsicum annuum. RNAcentral's name for it is "long non-coding RNA (CANN_LNC004529)". Lineage: Eukaryota; Viridiplantae; Streptophyta; Magnoliopsida; Solanales; Solanaceae. The record is from RNAcentral.